Molecule: transfer RNA, 73 nt
Filed under: Acropora cervicornis
Lineage: Eukaryota; Metazoa; Cnidaria; Anthozoa; Scleractinia; Acroporidae
Description: tRNA-Ala
Rfam family: tRNA
About the family: Transfer RNA (tRNA) molecules are approximately 80 nucleotides in length.
Source: RNAcentral
GGCCUGAUAGCUCAGCUUGUGGAGCACUGCACCAGCAUCGCAGAGGUGUGGGUUCGAAUCGCCGUUCAGGCCU